This 77-nucleotide transfer RNA is filed under the name Oscillospiraceae bacterium. RNAcentral describes it as "tRNA-Arg". It matches the Rfam family "tRNA". From Rfam's summary of the family: Transfer RNA (tRNA) molecules are approximately 80 nucleotides in length. Their secondary structure includes four short double-helical elements and three loops (D, anti-codon, and T loops). RNAcentral also lists the same sequence under 1 other name. The record is from RNAcentral. Lineage: Bacteria; Bacillati; Bacillota; Clostridia; Eubacteriales; Oscillospiraceae.
GCGCUUGUAGCUCAGCAGGAUAGAGCGUUCGCCUCCUAAGCGAAAGGUCGGGGAUUCGAAUUCCUUCAAGCGCGCCA